AGCUGUUACCCACAUGAAAGAGCUCUGCAGUGCAAUCCAGGAAAGAGCACUGCUCAGGGAAACAGAAUGUGGUUGCUUUUCACAAAUCCUGAACCGGGAUACCUUCGCAGCCAGCCGAACCUCUAGCUCUACUGCUGGUGCUGCCAGGCCAUGGACAAAAAAGCUCCCUCGCAAAGCCGUGCUGUCCGGCACGUGCAAUGCCUGCAGCACUCUGAGGGCAGAUCUCCUGCACAGCCUGCUCCUUGUCUCUGCAGAGACAUGGUCUGAAGACGAGCUGCACCCAAACAGUGCUGCCCAGCACUUCCCAUGAGGAAAAGAGCACAGUUAAUGCUCUGUCCAGCUGUCAUUUGUCAUCAUUUGGCUCCAGUUAAACAGAACCACUCUGCAUAAACAAAAGGCUUGAAUUUAAUUUCUUCAUUGCAAGAGUGGCAUUGAAGUACAAUGGUGGGGAAGUGGGCUCUCCUGUAUGCUGUACUAUUUCAACAGUCCCAUUUACAAACACUGGUAAAAUGUCAAGAUAAAAACCAUGCAGUAAGCAUAUGGAGCUAGGAUUUGAUAACUCACUUUAAAAGCUGCAGAAAGAGCUGUGUUACUCAGGUCUUGUUCUUUCAUGUAAGACAAUGAAAUCACCACCCUCAGAAUCUAUGCCAUUUUAAGAGAAGCUGUUUUUUCCCCCCAGUUUGUACUACCUGAUCGCCUAUACAGGAGCAGCACUACCAGUGGCAGAUAUUCUUCAGGCCAUGAAGACUUUUUUUUUUUUUUUUUUUUUUUUUUUU
Molecule: long non-coding RNA, 776 nt
Organism: Oxyura jamaicensis (ruddy duck)
Lineage: Eukaryota; Metazoa; Chordata; Aves; Anseriformes; Anatidae
Exons: 2
Source: RefSeq, a predicted model, not a curated record